UACGUAGGGUGCGAGCGUUGUCCGGAAUUAUUGGGCGUAAAGAGCUUGUAGGCGGUUUGUCGCGUCUGCCGUGAAAAUCCGGGGCUCAACCCCGGACUUGCGGUGGGUACGGGCAGACUAGAGUGUGGUAGGGGAGACUGGAAUUCCUGGUGUAGCGGUGAAAUGCGUAGAUAUCUGGAGGAACACCGGUGGCGAAGGCGGCAUUCUGGACCGACAUUGACGCUGAGGAGCGAAAGCCAGGGGAGCAAACGGG
This 253-nucleotide ribosomal RNA is filed under the name uncultured bacterium. RNAcentral describes it as "partial 16S ribosomal RNA". It matches the Rfam family "Bacterial small subunit ribosomal RNA", at positions 524 to 776 of the family's 1533-position model. The record is from RNAcentral.